CUUUCGGGGAGAAAAAAGACCCUGAAAAGAAAGACGCCCUGUGGAAACGCAGGGAGAGCGUCUCGGAUCAUUGACAACUAAAUAGGAGCAGCAACGUCCAAUUAAAGGGCCCUGAUCACGAAACACAGGAACAAAAUGAAUCUGGAGAGUUUGAUCCUGGCUCAGAACGAACGCUGGCGGCGUGCCUAACACAUGCAAGUCCAACGUGAAAGGGGAGCAAUCCCCCGGUAGGGUGGCAAACGGGUGAGUAAUACAUGGGUGAUCUACCUUAGGGA
Molecule: ribosomal RNA, 275 nt
Filed under: uncultured bacterium
Lineage: Bacteria
Description: partial 16S ribosomal RNA
Rfam family: Bacterial small subunit ribosomal RNA (bases 139-275)
Source: RNAcentral